CAGGACACCGCCUCUCAGAUGCCUCUGAGGAGCUAUUCUGAAGAGGUGGGGAGAGUCAAUUACACACCCACACCUUGCUGUCAGGCAGCUCUCACUGGUGUUCCCAACUCCUGCCUGCACAUGUCAGUAUUUGUAUCCACCAGGGUCCAAUUAGGAGAGAGAAAUCACCGUGUGAUCUGAACAUGAGAAGUUCAAGCAAUAUGGAGCCACUGUGUUGCACAGCUGAAAGUAUCAGGAUGUAUGUCAACUGUACUUCAGUUAACAAACAAAAAAGGACUUGGAGUAGUGAACCCCUACACAAAUGCUUAGCAAUUCUUCAUGGGUGUGACCAUUCUCUUUUCAUGGGUGAUGCUAUGAAUUAAUAAUGAACACUACAAGUACAUCAUAGAUCAGAAUUAAGAAAACUCAGAAAUGAAGACGUGAAACUCCCAAAAGAAUAAGAAAAUAUUGAAAAGUACAUGUAAAUGAAAUUUAAACAGAAACCUGCUAUCAAAUAAUGCCUUGUAAGGAAUGAAACAGUAAGGAGGUAGAGCUUAAACACUGUUUAAAAACACUUCUGGAAAAUAAAUUAAGCAAAAAUUUAUAAAAUAUUUCAUGAGUGUG
This is a long non-coding RNA of Bos taurus (domestic cattle), 603 nucleotides long. The record is from Ensembl. Lineage: Eukaryota; Metazoa; Chordata; Mammalia; Artiodactyla; Bovidae.